AGGAUAAAAGUUUUAAACAUAAAAUUUGCAAUUUUAAAAUAUUGAUUAUUCAAUUUAUCUUA
This 62-nucleotide transfer RNA is filed under the name Aderidae sp. GENSP01. RNAcentral describes it as "tRNA-Ala". Lineage: Eukaryota; Metazoa; Arthropoda; Insecta; Coleoptera; Aderidae. The record is from RNAcentral.